GACAGAGGGUGCAAACGUUGUUCGGAGUUACUGGGCGUAAAGAGUGCGUAGGCGGUCCUGUAAGUUUGGUGUGAAAUCUCCCGGCUCAACUGGGAGGGUGCGCCGAAGACUGCAGGGCUUGAGUAUGGGAGAGGUAAGCGGAAUUCCUGGUGUAGCGGUGAAAUGCGUAGAUAUCAGGAGGAACACCUGUGGUGUAGACAGCUUACUGGACCAUAACUGACGCUGAGGCACGAAAGCGUGGGUAGCAAACAGG
This 253-nucleotide ribosomal RNA is filed under the name uncultured bacterium. RNAcentral's name for it is "partial 16S ribosomal RNA". It matches the Rfam family "Bacterial small subunit ribosomal RNA", at positions 524 to 776 of the family's 1533-position model. The record is from RNAcentral.